ACAUAUUGUAAUGCUUAUUGAUAUGAUUUGUAAAGUUCAUUGAGGUUUUUUGAAACAUGGUUAAAAUACAAUGUUUAGAGAAAAUUGUUGAUUAUAAAUUGUUUAUAUUGUGUUUAAAAAUGAAAAGCUUUUCUGUAUGUAAUGUUCCUUUAAUAAUGCGUAAUGCGUCACAUGACUAAGAGAGGGAGUGAAGAACUGUGGGUCAGAGAGCAAUGGAUGCGAACAGGUCGUAACACGUGCGGCUCCUUCAAAACGUAUAAUCUCUGCAUAUGGUCCUAAAGGCGCACACGUUUUCACGGUGUCUUUCUUAGACCGUGACAUCUUCGGAUCGACACAGGAAAGAGAGAGCAAAAUAAAAGUCUAAAAGACAUCUG
Long non-coding RNA from Triplophysa dalaica, 374 nucleotides. RefSeq lists it as uncharacterized. The record is from RefSeq and is a predicted model, not a curated record. The transcript has 2 exons. Lineage: Eukaryota; Metazoa; Chordata; Actinopteri; Cypriniformes; Nemacheilidae.